Molecule: long non-coding RNA, 501 nt
Organism: Arachis ipaensis
Lineage: Eukaryota; Viridiplantae; Streptophyta; Magnoliopsida; Fabales; Fabaceae
Source: RefSeq, a predicted model, not a curated record
AUUUGCAUGCAACGCAGCAAAACAGAUUUGGGGAGGAAGAAGAGCCCCCAAACCCUUAACCUCCUUUGAUCCACCAUAACUCUUCCGUCCGGGCUCCGAUCGCCGCACCGUUUGCGGCCACGCGCUCAGCGCGUCGAGCUCUACCUUUCUAUCCGAACAAUUUUACUGGUUCAAGUUAGCUUCCGGAACUUGUGGGCUCAAGCUAUUGAGCAUAUGGGUAUGGUGUAGUUUAAGAGGGUGUUUAUGCAUUGGACUUGAAUUUGGAUUACUUGGAGCUUUGUUGGUGACAAGGCUUACUUUGGGGCUGUUUGAUUGAGCUUGGAGGGGCUGUGAUUUUGUGUUGAGAGGCUGCCUUGGGUGAAUUAAGUGAUCGGCCAAGAUGCAGGUCGAGAGGCUCCUUGCUAGACGUCUGGAUCUUGGGAAGCGAAGUAGUCCUUGGGUGUAUUUUGGUUUUUUUUUGGUUGUAUAUAUGUAUAUAUUUGUUUAGCUUACUCUCCAAGU